UACCUGUACUUGAAUAGAAAGACCCUAUUUAACUUCACUCUUCCCUAGGAUAUGCUUUAGGCCUUUCCUACUCAGCCUACGAAGCAGUGAAAGGAAAAGAAGGCCCCUUUUUGGGGGCCCAAGCCAUUAAUGAGACCACUCUUCCAAAGUUAGAAUUCUAACCUCGUGUCAGCAUCUACGAAACAAUCUCAAGAAGACAGUUCAAUGGGGCAUAGGCCUCCGAAAAGGUAAUGGAGGCAUGCAAAGUUUUCCUCAAGGUAGAUGGAGAUUGGCCUUUGAAUACAAAGGCAAAAAGGAGCUUGAUUAUAAGACCCACCCAACAAGAACAAAAGUUAGCCUCAGUGAUUCGACGGUACCAAGUGGAAGGGUCAUCGUUUAACAGAUAAAAGUGACUCUAGGGAUAAGAGGUUGAUCUUCCUCAAGAGCUCGCAUGGGAUGUCGGCUCUUCGCCACCUGGGUCUGUAGUAUGUUCCAAGGGUUGGGUUGUUUGCCGAUGAAAGCGGUACAUGAGUUGGGUUUAGAACAUCGUGAGACAGUUCUGUCCAUAUCUAGUGUGAG
This 558-nucleotide non-coding RNA is filed under the name Cucumis melo var. makuwa. Its description in RNAcentral is "Bacterial large subunit ribosomal RNA". It matches the Rfam family "Bacterial large subunit ribosomal RNA", at positions 2067 to 2651 of the family's 2925-position model. The record is from Rfam by way of RNAcentral. Lineage: Eukaryota; Viridiplantae; Streptophyta; Magnoliopsida; Cucurbitales; Cucurbitaceae.